This 568-nucleotide ribosomal RNA is filed under the name uncultured fungus. RNAcentral describes it as "eukaryotic LSU rRNA". The stretch from base 208 to 361 matches the Rfam family "5.8S ribosomal RNA". The record is from RNAcentral. Lineage: Eukaryota; Fungi.
CGUAACAAGGUCUCCGUAGGUGAACCUGCGGAGGGAUCAUUACACAAAUAUGAAGGCGGGCUGGAACCUCUCGGGGUUACAGCCUUGCUGAAUUAUUCACCCUUGUCUUUUGCGUACUUCUUGUUUCCUUGGUGGGUUCGCCCACCACUAGGACAAACAUAAACCUUUUGUAAUUGCAAUCAGCGUCAGUAACAAAUUAAUAAUUACAACUUUCAACAACGGAUCUCUUGGUUCUGGCAUCGAUGAAGAACGCAGCGAAAUGCGAUAAGUAGUGUGAAUUGCAGAAUUCAGUGAAUCAUCGAAUCUUUGAACGCACAUUGCGCCCUUUGGUAUUCCAAAGGGCAUGCCUGUUCGAGCGUCAUUUGUACCCUCAAGCUUUGCUUGGUGUUGGGCGUCUUGUCUCUAGCUUUGCUGGAGACUCGCCUUAAAGUAAUUGGCAGCCGGCCUACUGGUUUCGGAGCGCAGCACAAGUCGCACUCUCUAUCAGCAAAGGUCUAGCAUCCAUUAAGCCUUUUUUUCAACUUUUGACCUCGGAUCAGGUGGGGAUACCCGCUGAACUUAAGCAUAU